ACACACUGAGCUCGUGCUUGGACGACCUCUCUCGCUCUCUUCUGAAGGUGGCGUCGUGACGUCGUCGUUUAGGUCUUCGGAUUCGGCUGCCGUGAUCUGCUUUCUGGUUCGCUCCGGGAUAUGGAUUUCAAUCUAGUUGGGAACUUACAGCUGUCUAACAAAGAAGUGAGAGAAAGGGAACCUAUCGGAGUAAGUGAGCAGGGAAAAUUCUUAAAGAUGUCAGUGUACAAGUGAGUCCUUCCAGCUCAACUGAGAAGACAAGACUACCUAGUAUUCAGAGUAUAAAUCCUAAGCUCAGUCUCCCAAGUGUGCAGCUACUGAGUAACUCAAAGAAAACCAUCUCUACCCGGAAAGUUUCCAACUGUAGACUUCGUAGACCUUUCAUGGUGAAUGUCAUGGAACUUGAAAUUCCUUCAGCAAAGGAAACUGAUGGAAAUGCUGAAAAGGCUGAAGCAUAUACCAAGGCGUUUAAAGGACAAUUCCUUUAGCGGCAAAGGUACCACAAUAGUAGCUCUUAUUGGACGUGAUGCAAUCUAUAUUGGCUCAGACAGUCUUGUUGUUUCUGGGCACCAGGAUGACCUCGAUCAGCCUAGCUGCUACCAGCCCCACAUGCCAUGACUCUUCCCAACUCUGUCGCCAUUUGGUUGCGGAAUCCAACAAAUAUUAUAACAGCCUGCUGCCCUUCCCAGCUAUAGAGCCCAAUAGUUGAAGGGAAAUGUUCAUCCUUAUUUUCCUGUUGCUUCUUUCUCUUCCACUCAUCAAUAUACCUCUCACAUGCUGCUUUCACAGUGUAUAUAUUAUCCUCAAUCUCCACUUCAUUUUGUACCGUCCAUAACAAAUCCUGACAUAUAGCAGCAUUACCAGCUG
Rosa chinensis is the source of this 867-nucleotide long non-coding RNA. RefSeq lists it as uncharacterized. NCBI's taxonomy places the organism in Eukaryota, Viridiplantae, Streptophyta, Magnoliopsida, Rosales, Rosaceae. The transcript is spliced from 5 exons. The record is from RefSeq and is a predicted model, not a curated record.